Molecule: ribosomal RNA, 137 nt
Filed under: uncultured bacterium
Lineage: Bacteria
Description: partial 16S ribosomal RNA
Rfam family: Bacterial small subunit ribosomal RNA
Source: RNAcentral
UAAGGGAUAUUGGUCAAUGGGGGAAACCCUGAACCAGCAACGCCGCGUGAGGGAAGACGGUUUUCGGAUUGUAAACCUCUGUCCUCUGUGAAGAUGAUGACGGUAGCAGAGGAGGAAGCUCCGGCUAACUACGUGCC